RNAcentral lists this ribosomal RNA (939 nucleotides) under uncultured Desulfobacteraceae bacterium. RNAcentral describes it as "bacterial SSU rRNA". It matches the Rfam family "Bacterial small subunit ribosomal RNA", at positions 8 to 916 of the family's 1533-position model. Lineage: Bacteria; Pseudomonadati; Thermodesulfobacteriota; Desulfobacteria; Desulfobacterales; Desulfobacteraceae. The record is from RNAcentral.
AGAGUUUGAUCAUGGCUCAGAAUGAACGCUGGCGGCGUGCUUAACACAUGCAAGUCGCACGAGAACGCUUCAGCUUGCUGAGGCAAGUAAAGUGGCGCACGGGUGAGUAACGCGUGGGUAAUCUACCUCCGAAUUGGGGAUAACAUUGCGAAAGCGGUGCUAAUACCGAAUCACAUCACCAAGGCUCCGGUCUUGGUGAUCAAAGGUGGCCUCUACAUGUAAGCUACUGUUUGGAGAUGAGCCCGCGUACCAUUAGCUUGUUGGUAGGGUAACGGCCUACCAAGGCUGCGAUGGUUAGCUGGUCUGAGAGGAUGAUCAGCCACACUGGAACUGACACACGGUCCAGACUCCUACGGGAGGCAGCAGYGAGGAAUUUUGCGCAAUGGGGGAAACCCUGACGCAGCAACGCCGCGUGAGUGAUGAAGGCYUUCGGGUCGUAAAGCUCUGUCAAGUGGGAAGAAGUCAUAUGGUGUUAAUACUGCCAUUGUGUUGACGGUACCACUGAAGGAAGCACCGGCUAACUCCGUGCCAGCAGCCGCGGUAAUACGGGGGGUGCGAGCGUUAUUCGGAAUUAUUGGGCGUAAAGAGCGCGUAGGCGGUCUUUUAAGUCAGGUGUGAAAGCCCGGGGCUCAACCGAGGAAGUGCACUUGAAACUAAGAGACUUGAGUAUGGGAGAGGGAAGUGGAAUUCCUGGUGUAGCGGUGAAAUGCGUAGAUAUCAGGAGGAACACCGGUGGCGAAGGCGGCUUCCUGGACCAAUACUGACGCUGAGGCGCGAAGGCGUGGGGAGCAAACAGGAUUAGAUACCCUGGUAGUCCACGCAGUAAAACUGUGAACACUAGGUGUAGCGGGUAUUGACCCCUGCUGUGCCGAAGCUAACGCAUUAAGUGUUCCGCCUGGGAAGUACGGCCGCAAGGUUAAAACUCAAAUGAAUUGACGG